CCUACGGGUGACUGCAGUGAGGAAUAGUGGUCAAUGGGAGAGAUCCUGAACCAGCCAAGCCGCGUGAGGGAAGACGGCCCUAUGGGUUGUAAACCUCUUUUGUCGGAGAACAAAACCCGGGACGUGUGCCGGACUGCGUGUAUCCGAAGAAAAAGCAUCGGCUAACGCCGUGCCAGCAGCCGCGGUAAUACGGAGGAUGCGAGCGUUAUCCGGAUUUAUUGGGCUUAAAGGGUGCGGAGGCGGUCCGUUAAGUCAGCGGUAAAAUUGCGGGGCUCAACCCCGUCGAGCCGUUGAAACUGGCAGCCUUGCGUUGGCGCGAAGUACGCGGAAUGCGCGGUGUAGCGGUGACAUGCAUCGAUCUCGCGC
Molecule: ribosomal RNA, 366 nt
Filed under: uncultured bacterium
Lineage: Bacteria
Description: partial 16S ribosomal RNA
Rfam family: Bacterial small subunit ribosomal RNA
Source: RNAcentral